AACGCACCUUGCGCUCUAUGGCAAUCCGUAGAGCAUGCCUGUUUGAGUGCCAUGAAAUCUCCCACCCCAAGCGGUUUUUAAAUGAAACGGCUUGGCGGAUGGGGUCUGGAUGGGUGCCGCUGCCUGGGCUUUGGCCCAGGCUCGCCCGAAAUGCAUGAGCGCUUAGCACUCGCACCGUCUCGAGGGAAGGCGGCGGAGCUGGCAUCUGCGCAUGGCAUGAUACGUCAUUUGCUGUGUGGCAGCCCAGCGACCCGAGAGUGUGUGUGCGCUACUACACGCCCUUUCAUUUCUGGUCUCAAAUCAGGUAGGAUCACCCGCUGAACUUAA
RNAcentral lists this unclassified non-coding RNA (327 nucleotides) under uncultured fungus. RNAcentral's name for it is "partial contains 5.8S rRNA and ITS2". Lineage: Eukaryota; Fungi. The record is from RNAcentral.